AGGAGGAGGAGGAGGAGGAGCAACUACAUACAAGGAUACAACCAGCCUAAGAGAAAAAAUUGUGUUUUGGAGAACAAAGCUGGUAGAACAUCUAAGCUUUUUGGAACUAAAGACCCAGAUACUUGACACAGCUACAGGAUUUGGUGUUUGCCCUGUGGGCUUUCAGACUAGCUUUGAUCUAAUCUUUCCCCACUAUGUCUCCAUUCCUUCCUUUUGUAAUGGGAAUGUAUAUUUUGUGCCUUUUAAUAUUUAAACUAUGUAAUUCAUUUUUAUUUUAUUUUAUUUCUUUAUUUUAUUGGAGUCGCAGGUAAAAGGUUGCUUUGAGUCUCAGAAGAGACUUUGGACUUUUGAUGUGUUAAACUGUUAAAAGGCUAUGGGGACUUUUGAAGUUGGACUACAGUUUUGCAUCAUGAGAUGGCCAUGAAUGAAUGUGGUCCAGAGGCCAACUGUGGAGGGAGCCAAGGUUUGAAUCUCAGCACCUACAAUGGACAGUUCAUCCCUGCCUAAAGCUGCAGCUCGAAGAGAUCCAAUGCCACCUUCUAGUCUCCGUGGGCACUGAAUGCAUAUGGCACAUGAUACAACCUGAAUGGGAAAAAAUGGGCUUCUGCCAGGUCAUUCCUGUUUUGCUGUUAUUAAUACCGAAGAUACUCAGAGGACAUGACCAUCCAGGAACAGGGUGCAACGGGUUCAUGGUUAUCCUGGACUACUUUCUUUGGGAAACAGUCCCCAGACAGGAUCCACAUAGAAGGUAAGGCUAUAAGCUAAUGAAGAAGCAGGAGAAAUGUCCCUCAGUCUUGCUGAAAUUAACUGACGAUAGACAAUUGACAGGGAAAAAAGUACCCAAAACCAUUUAGUGUGUAUUACCAUUCGUAUAUUUUAGGGACACGAAGACAACGAGACAGAAUGUCGCUGUGUAGCCCCAGCUGGCCUGGAACCCAUGGCAGUCCUGUGCUUUAGUCUCCCAUGAUCCUCUACACUUAGUCAGUUCACAUCAUAAAUGUCCGUCAAUGGCUAGGCAUGAAAGCAGUUUCCAGCCCGCAGUGUUAUUGGGAAAUUAAGUCAUCGGAAAGGAAAGGCAGAGGUCUCAAGUGAGAGAAGAAGGAAAUGGAGAUGGAAUAGAAUAUGACAAAAGGGCAGAAGGAAGGGCUGCCUUGGUGUGAGCAAGCAACCAGCAAGCAGAAAGUGGCCUGGAGAAAGAUCAAAAUCCAUGCAUGAAGAAGGGUUAUAACGAAACCCAUCACUCUGGGUCUCAAUUACAAAAUGAAUUAAAAAUAUUUAUGAACAAAACCCAGAAAAAUUAAAGGAAAAUUAAGGCAAAAUGGUUAGAAAGUAAACGUUGCCUUCCCCAGGGAGUGAGAGAGAGUGGUAUGUGGCUGCAGGUGAAUACCUGAAGAAGUGACUGGACAGGGCUCCUCUCAGCUCUGGGAGGAGGUAGCCUCGCGUCACAGUAAGUGAGGGACAAAAAUCCUGUCUUUUGCAGAGAAUCAGUUCAUCUGUUCAGAUGCCCUUAGAAAAGCAGACAGACAGGGGUCCGGUAAGGCGAUGAUGAGCUUCGACUCUUUAGACUCUCGAGUCCAGUGGCUCUCCUUUCCUAGUUAUUCAGAUACUGGGGCUGAGAGCGGGGCAUGCAGUUAAGACUAGAUUUAUUUUGGAAGAAAUGUAUUCGGCCAUAUAAGUGAACUGAGAAAUCCUUAACUUGUACUUUGUUAAAUAAAAAGAAUUAAAGAUGACUAGACAGACCAGGGGCAAGAAAGCAUGGGUAAGAGACCUGAGUUGGAAAGCUCACACGGUCAACACACCACACUUGGGACUAUCACUUUCUGAAGUGUCCACCUCCUGCCUUAUAAUGCUACUUUGUGUAAUGCAAACAGCAUAAAUACUAUACUGUACCUACAGUUUUGUCCUAAUGGAGGCCUAGUGCUCCAGUUUGGAAAAUAAACUGCAUUGCUGACAUAAUAAGAAAACCAUGCCAAAACAUGCCUGUAUUUUAAAUUAGGGCUGGGAUGGUUUAAAUGGCACCCAGAGGCUCAUAUUUUUAUCUACAUGAUCCCUAGUUGGAGGAACUGUUUGCAAAGGGAGAAGGGGGUGUGACCUUGCUGGAGGAAGGCUUUGAGGUUUCAAAAGGUGGAACCAUCCCCAGUGCUGUCUCUGCCUCCCGCUUAUGGAUCAACAGAUGAGCUCUCAGCUGUCCCUCUGCUCUGCCAUUCUGGACUCUCACUCUCUGAAACUGUGUGUCACAGCAAUAGAAGAGUAAUAAAGUGGGGUUGGGGAUUUAGCUCAGUGGUAGAGCGCUUGCCUAGGAAGCGCAAGGCCCUGGGUUCGAUCCCCAGCUCCGAAAAAUAGAAGAAAAAAAAAAAAGGGCCCGCCAUGAACAAAUGCAGCAAGACAAUGAGCCUGCACCACAAGGCCACAUCACCUCCCACCACAGUGCAAAGGACCAGAUUGCAGUGGCCACAUGUAAAGGUUGGUAUUGAUGACUUAUAAGAGUUUUAUAUAUUGAAGUACAAGUUCCUUAUCAUAUACGUAAUUUGAGAAAUUGUGAAUUUUCUUUCUCGAUGGCAAUUUCUGGAACAUGGUUUUAAAAUGUGUGUGUGUGUGUGUGUGUGUGUGUGUACGCACAAACAUUCUAUAGUAUGCAUUUGGAGGUCAGAGGACAACUUGUAAGAGUCUAUUCACUUAAUGUGGCCUAUAGGACUGAACUGAGGUCAUCCAUCCAUCAGAUUUGACAGUAAGCUUGGUGGCAGUAAAGAUCAAGUUUGUUUUUACCUGCUAAGUCUUCUCACUAGGUCACUACUUAUUUUAAAUUUAUUCUUUUUAUCAAUUUCAUACAUGAUACCAUGCAUCUUGAUUGUGUCUACCUCAACUCCAUGCUUACACUCACUGUGGAUAUCUCAAACAAGUCUCCCUCCAACCUUCAUAUUUCUCUGCAGAAUAGAGGUUUUAAUUUUGGUAUCUGGUUUAUUUCUUUCUUCAUGUGAUUUUGUUAUCAUACUUAAAUAACCCAUUGCCUGAUUUAAAAAUUAUAGUGACUUAAACUGUUUUCUUCUAGGAGUCUGCUAGUUUUAGUUCUCAGACAGAUUUGAGUUCCUUUUUGUGUGGGAAGGGAGGCAAUACCUUUGAAUAUCUGCAUGCCAGUGUCCUGCUUGUUGGCACCAUACAGGUUGUUUCUUCAUUCUGGCACUGCUGGGAUCAAGCUUAGGACCUUACAUGUGCUCAGAACAAUGCUGAGUAGACAUGGCAAAGGUAAAUACAGGUGAGCUCCAGCCCCAGUCCUUCAGCUCUAGUUUUGAAAGCCUAGUCUUUCUUAUAGAGUUAGUUCAGUAUUUCUAGUAAGAAAUACGUGUAAGACUGUAAGUGUAUCUCUGAAAUCGCAAUCGCAUUUUCAUAGAUUUGUAUGCCUGACCUAAGCCAGUUAUUAGGUGUUGAUUACUGCAGUGUUUAUUUGAGAUGAGGGCUCAGUAUGAAUCCCAGUCUCAUCUCAAUCAUGAAGUCCCCUUGCAUCAGCCUUCCAAGUGCUGGGCUUACAGGCAUACACCACAGCACCCAGCUUCAUUACUAUGUUUUGAAAGAAGCCUUGAAAUUAGAAAGUAUCAUUCCUCCAGCUUCCUCUAUAUUUUCAAGAUUGUUCAUCUAUUUAAAGUUUUCUCCAUCUGCAUAUAAAUUUUAGGAACAGUGUGCCAAUUCUAUGAAGAAUUCAGAUGGGAUUUUGAUAGAGUUUUGCUCAACCUACAGAUUAAUGAGAGCACUACCAUGGUAAUAUUUUUUUCUGGUCUGUAAAUAUGGGCCAUUACUACAUCUCUUUUAAAUACACUCAGGAAUAUCUUUUGGCAUCAGCACCUGCUUGCAGACUGUGAAAGACUUUCAUAGUUUUCAAAGUAUGGCUGCCCUUUUUUUGUGAAAUUUAUUCCUAUUUCAUUUACUUUGGUUCUACUAGAUAUGAAACUUUAAUUUUUAUUAAAUAUUUUUUUAUUUAGCCCACACAUGUGUUUUUGGACUCCAUAAACUGGAUUCUAUUCCCUUUUCUCUAAUUCCUUCCCAUUCCCCCUACUUUUCUCUCCCAUUGUCACGUUUUCGUUUUUCCUUUUACACACCUCCUCCUUUCCUCCCCUCCCUUUAAUUUAAUACCAACUGAAUACAUUUAACACUGUCUAUAUGACCACAGUAUGAGACUGUCUGCAUGGAACAGACUCUCAGGGCCAGUAUCUCUGAAGAAAAGUGAUUCCACUUCUCCCAGGAUCCAUCAGUAUUGGAACAUGCUAUGAAUUCUAUAGGGAAAGAGAAAUAAUAGUUUUACCCAGAUGUGAACCCUAGAGCUCCAAUAAUGGUUGACCUUGGCAGGAUAAGCCUGCUGGAAUAAGAGUGGAAAAGAUGGUAUGGGACUAACCAACCACUUUAUGUACCACAAGAUGGAACCCACGCCUAGAAGAAUUAACCCCAAACCAACCAACCAAAACCCUGUGUGUGGCUAAAACCUAGUACUAUCGUUCCGCUAAAUGGACAUAUUAAUAAACUACCUCCGAAGUUCUUGGCUUUCUAACCAUAAAUGAGUAAGGGAAGCUUCUUUUUACAGUGGAUGGUGAUUAAUAGAGAGACCCACAACUGAUCAAUGUGCGGAGAUCAAAAGACUGUGGAAUGCUCAGUUCUAAGUGGAACAUUACACAUGUAUCAUACCUCUUCCUUCAGAGAUCAUUGCAGACAAAGGGAUAAGCAAAAAGGUUCUAAGAGCCAGAGGGGUUGGGUGUCUGUACAGAAACUGGUUUUACCUGCCUUAAGAGUUACAUUAAUAACAUGUAUGAACUCCAGUGGUUGUGACUGCACAAAAUCAAGCCAGACAAAAUCCCAACAUGGAUGGAGGAGGGGCUCAUAAAGUCUCAUCCAGAAACAGGAGUCAGUUUUCUUCAGGGAUGAUGCUCCAGGGAGGCGUGUUCCAGGAGAUGGUACUACAUCCGGGAACACACAGGCAGCAUUAUGUGGACGUGGUGGGCCUUUCUAAAGUAUAUGCAUAUAGAUUGAAGGAAAAUAUUGGGAGGGAUCGGAGAGAAACUAGAGGUGGGGGAAGGGAAGGAGAGAUCUGAUCAGAUGCAUUAUAUGCAUACAUAAAAUUCCCAAACAAUACAAAUAAUCAGUAAAUAUUUUUGUUCCUUGCCUUUUCUUUUUUGGAGCUAAUUUUUUAAAUUAAGAAUUAGAAAUUUGUAUUUUUUCCUGAAACAGUGUCAGUAGAUUCUCUAGGAAUGUGUCCGUUUCUCCUAAAUUACCUAAUCUGAUGCCAUAUAAUUAUUUUCACUUCUAUAUAGUUGUAGAAAUGUCCCUACUUUAUUUCUGGUUUUAGUAAUUACAGUAUUGUCUCAGUCCAUUUCUGUUGCUAUAAGUAAGUAUCCCAAACUGGGUAAUUUACAGAGAACAGGGGCUUAUUUAGAUCAGUUCUACAGGCUGAGGAUGUAAGGGCUUAGCACUGGAUCUGCUUAGCACCUGACUCACAUGGCCGAGUGGAGAUCAUGGGGCAGGGUGAAGCAAAAGCAGGAGCUCAGGUCUUUCCUUCUUAAAAAGCUACUGAUGCAGUCAUCCAGACCACCCUCCUGACCUCAUCUACGUCACGUGCUUUCAUCACAUUCACACCCUUGGUCACCGUCACAGACACGAAGUAUUUUUCACCUGUUUGUUUUUGUGUAAAUGGGUUUAUGCCUGCAUGUAUGUCUGUGUAUCACAUGCAUGCCCAGUGGCUGUGAGGCCCUGAAAGCAGAAUGUGGACAGCUAUGGGUUUCCAUGUGGGUUUCCAUGUGGGUGCUGGGAACCAAACAGUCUUCUGGAAGAGCAGCCAGUGCCCUCAAUCAUGGAGCUAUCUCUAUUAACGCUCACCUUUUCCCCUAUUAAAUUUGGACACAUGUAUUCUGAAGUUGUUUUGUGUGCAUUUAACUGUUUAUAUUUUCCAGAAGAAGUGACCAAUUUAGCAUAAAAUGUCCUUCGGUAACAUUUUGUUGUUGUUGUCGUACAAUCUGCCUUGUCUGGUAGUUUGCUUUUCUUUGCUUUUUUUUUUUUUUAAAGAUUUAUUUAUUUAUUAUAUAUAAGUACACACUGUAGCUGUCUUCAGAUACAC
This is a non-coding RNA of Rattus norvegicus (Norway rat), 6094 nucleotides long. NCBI's taxonomy places the organism in Eukaryota, Metazoa, Chordata, Mammalia, Rodentia, Muridae. The record is from RefSeq and is a predicted model, not a curated record.